This 249-nucleotide ribosomal RNA is filed under the name uncultured bacterium. RNAcentral describes it as "partial 16S ribosomal RNA". It matches the Rfam family "Bacterial small subunit ribosomal RNA", at positions 15 to 252 of the family's 1533-position model. The record is from RNAcentral.
GAUCAUGGCUCAGGAUGAACGCUAGCUACAGGCUUAACACAUGCAAGUCGAGGGGCAGCAUUCCAGUUUGCUUGCAAACUGGAGAUGGCGACCGGCGCACGGGUGAGUAACACGUAUCCAACCUGCCGAUAACUCGGGGAUAGCCUUUCGAAAGAAAGAUUAAUACCCGAUGGCAUAAUAGAACCGCAUGGUUUGAUUAUUAACGAAUUUACGGUUUAGUCGAUGGGGAGUGCGUUCCUACUUAGGUCG